UACAGAGGGUGCGAGCGUUGUCCGGAAUCACUGGGCGUAAAGGGCGCGUAGGUGGCGGGACAAGCAUGCGGUGAAAGCUCGGGGCUCAACCCCGAGUCGGCCGUGCGAACUGUUUUGCUUGAGCACUGUAGAGGCAGGCGGAAUUCCGGGUGUAGCGGUGGAAUGCGUAGAGAUCCGGAAGAACACCGGUGGCGAAGGCGGCCUGCUGGGCAGUAGCUGACACUGAGGCGCGACAGCGUGGGGAGCAAACAGG
This 253-nucleotide ribosomal RNA is filed under the name uncultured bacterium. RNAcentral describes it as "partial 16S ribosomal RNA". It matches the Rfam family "Bacterial small subunit ribosomal RNA", at positions 524 to 776 of the family's 1533-position model. The record is from RNAcentral.